AGACCUACUGCAGCCACGCGGGCGAGCGGCUGUGUGGAUGUCGGCGAAGCCGCGGGCGAGAUCACCUCUUAGGCAGAGCAGUGGGCGCAGAUGCCAUGGCGGGAAGCAGGCCUUUCUGAAUUCUUAGCAGCGAUCUCCAGGGGCACUCUAACCUUGCAAGAAAGAGGCUGCCAGUCUUGCAUCAGAUGCAGAAACCAGGGCGCAGAGUAGCCUGCCCCUCCUGUGACUUCCCCGUCUCGGGAAAUGGCACCAUCAUCAUCUACCUGGUGGCUCCGGCCAGAAAACAGGGAGGCAUCUUUGGAUCAUCUCACCCUCACCACCCACACCCGGGCCACCACCAAGACUCUUCAAUUCUACCUCCAAAAUAAAUCCCUACCCCACUUCCCUCUGUUCUCGUUGCCACCCCUGUGUCAAGCCAUCACCAGCUUGGCCCUGGAGGCCAGCACAGCCUCCUUCCCGCCUCCCUGCCUCCUCUCUACCCCCAACAGCCAGAAUAACUUGCAGAAAAUGUAAAUCAGGCCCCAUCUCAUUCUCCUUCUUAAACCGCCCCUUUCCCCAAGGGCUUCCUAUUGCAUUUGCACCAAAAUCGACACCCCCCAAAUAGCUCUGAGGUUCACCAUGACCUGGUGCUGCCUCACCUCCUCCAAUUUCACUGUCCCCUAGUUCUUUUCCCCUGGAAUCUGUGUGUUUGCAUAAGCUGUUCCCUUUGCCUGGAUGCUCUUCCCUGCAAUUCUUUCCCCACUGGUCCCUUCUCAUACUUUAGGUCUCAGCUGGGAGCUUACUUAAACUUUUUUGUUUGAGAUGGAGUCUCAUGCUGUCACCCAGGCUGGGUGACAUAGUACCUAGAAGAGGAGAUGACAUAUUGAUGGAAUUUAAUAAAUGGGCUUAUUGAAU
RNAcentral lists this long non-coding RNA (894 nucleotides) under Homo sapiens (human). RNAcentral's name for it is "HSALNT0341348". The record is from RNAcentral. Lineage: Eukaryota; Metazoa; Chordata; Mammalia; Primates; Hominidae.